This 898-nucleotide long non-coding RNA is filed under the name Mytilus galloprovincialis (Mediterranean mussel). The record is from RNAcentral. Lineage: Eukaryota; Metazoa; Mollusca; Bivalvia; Mytilida; Mytilidae.
AAAAAUUUCCUUAUCAAAGGGCAAAAUCAAAAGGUCAAACACAUCAAACGAAUGGGAAGUCAUAUUCCUGACUUGGUUCAGGCAUUUCCUUAUGUAGAAAAUGGUGAAGUAAACCUGGUUUUAUAGCUAGCUUAACCUCUCACUUGUAUGACAGUCGCAUAAAAUUCCAUUAUAUUGACAACAAUGUGUGAACAAAACAAACAGACAUGAUAGAUAAAAUAUUUAAAUUUAAAAAAUAGGGGUACAGCAGUCAACAUUGUGUUAUAAUCUUAAUCACUAUAAAAAAAGACAAAUAUGUCAACAAAGAAAAUAAAAUGGCAUAUAGACCAAAGCGCAUAGGUAAAAAUAUACAAGAAUACAAAAAUGACCAUAGCAAAAUAACACAAUGGCGGGAUGUUUAAGUACUGAGCCACACCAAAAAAUCCCAAAAGGGUAUUACAAAAAAGGGCUUAACAGUAAAAGUAAUUUACGAAGACAAAAAAAGGAAAACUACAACACAUAAUUAGGAUGAUAAACAACGUCAGUGACUAACAUUUAUACUUCAAGACCAUCAUGUAUUAUUUGUGCAGUCGAAAUAUGUAUCAACAAAGUCUUGGUAUCUUCUGAAGAACUUAAGCAAAAGACUCAUCAGUGACGAUCGAAAAACAAAAUAUUAAAAAGGCAAGCAGGAAGUUGUAAAGCAUUGCGCUAAAACACCACCAAACAACACAUGGUGCAGAUAGCCUGACUUGAAAGAGGCCAAACAUUUGCUUGGUAGUAGGUUUUAAAAUGUCUUUUUUGACAUUUGAUAUGUUCUCAACUAUUUGAAAAUAUAAUAUAACCAAACAAUUAUCACUGAUCUGUUUGGAUUUAAAAUCCUUUUGUCUGAUGGAUGAAAGAUAAGUUCAUUUGACAGAUC